Molecule: ribosomal RNA, 465 nt
Filed under: Vreelandella stevensii
Lineage: Bacteria; Pseudomonadati; Pseudomonadota; Gammaproteobacteria; Oceanospirillales; Halomonadaceae
Description: partial 16S ribosomal RNA
Rfam family: Bacterial small subunit ribosomal RNA
Source: RNAcentral
CCUACGGGGGGCUGCAGUGGGGAAUAUUGGACAAUGGGGGGAACCCUGAUCCAGCCAUGCCGCGUGUGUGAAGAAGGCCCUCGGGUUGUAAAGCACUUUCAGUGAGGAAGAACGCCUGGUGGUUAAUACCCAUCAGGAAAGACAUCACUCACAGAAGAAGCACCGGCUAACUCCGUGCCAGCAGCCGCGGUAAUACGGAGGGUGCGAGCGUUAAUCGGAAUUACUGGGCGUAAAGCGCGCGUAGGUGGCUUGAUAAGCCGGUUGUGAAAGCCCCGGGCUCAACCUGGGAACGGCAUCCGGAACUGGCAAGCGCGCGUGCAGGAGAGGGACGUGGAACUCCCGGUGUAGAGGUGAAAUGAGUUGAGAACGGGAGGAAUACCAGUGGCGAAGGCGGCCUUUUGGACUGACCCUGACACUGAGGUGCGAAAGCGUGGGUAGCAAACAGGAUUAGAUACCCGAGUAGUC